UACGUAGGGUGCAAGCGUUAAUCGGAAUUACUGGGCGUAAAGCGUGCGCAGGCGGUUCGCUAAGACAGAUGUGAAAUCCCCGGGCUUAACCUGGGAACUGCAUUUGUGACUGGCGGCUAGAGUAUGGCAGAGGGGGGUAGGAAUUCCACGUGUAGCAGUGAAAUGCGUAGAGAUGUGGAGGAAUACCGAUGGCGAAGGCAGCCCCCUGGGCCAAUACUGACGCUCAUGCACGAAAGCGUGGGGAGCAAACAGG
RNAcentral lists this ribosomal RNA (253 nucleotides) under uncultured bacterium. RNAcentral's name for it is "partial 16S ribosomal RNA". It matches the Rfam family "Bacterial small subunit ribosomal RNA", at positions 524 to 776 of the family's 1533-position model. The record is from RNAcentral.